AACAGGAUUAGAUACCCUGGUAGUCCACGCCGUAAACGAUGUCGACUUGGAGGUUGUGCCCUUGAGGCGUGGCUUCCGGAGCUAACGCGUUAAGUCGACCGCCUGGGGAGUACGGCCGCAAGGUUAAAACUCAAAUGAAUUGACGGGGGCCCGCACAAGCGGUGGAGCAUGUGGUUCAAUUCGAUGCAACGCGAAGAACCUUACCUACUCUUGACAUCCAGAGAACUUAGCAGAGAUGCUUUGGUGCCUUCGGGAACUCUGAGACAGGUGCUGCAUGGCUGUCGUCAGCUCGUGUUGUGAAAUGUUGGGUUAAGUCCCGCAACGAGCGCAACCCUUAUCCUUUGUUGCCAGCGGUCCGGCCGGGAACUCAAAGGAGACUGCCAGUGAUAAACUGGAGGAAGGUGGGGAUGACGUCAAGUCAUCAUGGCCCUUACGAGUAGGGCUACACACGUGCUACAAUGGCGCAUACAAAGAGAAGCGACCUCGCGAGAGCAAGCGGACCUCAUAAAGUGCGUCGUAGUCCGGAUUGGAGUCUGCAACUCGACUCCAUGAAGUCGGAAUCGCUAGUAAUCGUGGAUCAGAAUGCCACGGUGAAUACGUUCCCGGGCCUUGUACACACCGCCCGUCACACCAUGGGAGUGGGUUGCAAAAGAAGUAGGUAGCUUAACCUUCGGGAGGGCGCUUACCACUUUGUGAUUCAUGACUGGGGUGAAGUCGUAACAAGGUAACC
RNAcentral lists this ribosomal RNA (730 nucleotides) under uncultured bacterium. Its description in RNAcentral is "bacterial SSU rRNA". It matches the Rfam family "Bacterial small subunit ribosomal RNA", at positions 771 to 1501 of the family's 1533-position model. The record is from RNAcentral.